Xenia sp. Carnegie-2017 is the source of this 132-nucleotide non-coding RNA. RefSeq annotates it as small Cajal body-specific RNA 8. The transcript has a single exon. The record is from RefSeq and is a predicted model, not a curated record. NCBI's taxonomy places the organism in Eukaryota, Metazoa, Cnidaria, Anthozoa, Malacalcyonacea, Xeniidae.
CGGGAGUAAUUCAGAUACAUGACAAGUCUCGAAAAAUGACGGUGUCAUCACUCUACUCCCUACAUUGAUGAUGCUUUCUGAUGACUACAAGAUUAUAAGGCGAUCUUGUGGACAGAUACGGAGCACAUAUUC